GGGCAGUUACCCAAGUGGUCAACGGGAGCAGACUGUAAAUCUGCUGCGCUUGCGCUUCGGAGGUUCGAAUCCUUCACUGCCCA
Molecule: transfer RNA, 83 nt
Filed under: Candidatus Omnitrophota bacterium
Lineage: Bacteria; Pseudomonadati; Candidatus Omnitrophota
Description: tRNA-Tyr
Rfam family: tRNA
About the family: Transfer RNA (tRNA) molecules are approximately 80 nucleotides in length. Their secondary structure includes four short double-helical elements and three loops (D, anti-codon, and T loops). Further hydrogen bonds mediate the characteristic L-shaped molecular structure. tRNAs have two regions of fundamental functional importance: the anti-codon, which is responsible for specific mRNA codon recognition, and the 3' end, to which the tRNAs corresponding amino acid is attached (by aminoacyl-tRNA synthetases). tRNAs cope with the degeneracy of the genetic code in two manners: having more than one tRNA (with a specific anti-codon) for a particular amino acid; and 'wobble' base-pairing, i.e. permitting non-standard base-pairing at the 3rd anti-codon position.
Source: RNAcentral